This 145-nucleotide non-coding RNA is filed under the name Microbacterium sp. RNAcentral's name for it is "FMN sequence". It matches the Rfam family "FMN riboswitch aptamer (RFN element)". From Rfam's summary of the family: The RFN element is a highly conserved domain that is found frequently in the 5'-untranslated regions of prokaryotic mRNAs that encode for flavin mononucleotide (FMN) biosynthesis and transport proteins. The record is from RNAcentral. Lineage: Bacteria; Bacillati; Actinomycetota; Actinomycetes; Micrococcales; Microbacteriaceae. RNAcentral also lists the same sequence under 1 other name.
AACGUGCUCCGGGGUCGGUGUGAAUCCGAACCGGCGGUGACAGUCCGCGAGCGUCAAGGGAAACCGAGACGCUGAUCCGGUGAAAUUCCGGUACCGACGGUGAUGCGAGAGAAAUCUCGCUAGUCCGGAAGGGAGGCAGCACGAC